GGAGGAGAGCCUCCAGCGCUGUGACAAGUUGCAUGGCCUAGUCCUGGGCACCCCCUCAGGCAGAUGGACAGUCAGGCCUGAAGGACAGGGGCCCUUCCUGAGUUCUGGCUGUAACUCCCAUGUUUGAGCAGCCCUGGCUUCUCCUGCAGGGAUUGGGUUGGCCUGAGCGCCUGCCUGCUCCCCGUCCAGCGCUGACCUGGGCUGCCUCCCACUUCCUUCACUGCCAGGAUGGGAACCUGCCCAGUGGAGAGGCCAUGGUGAGGCAGUUUUUGCAGGGCCAGAACUUCUUUCUGCAGGAGUUUGGGAAGAUGUGCUCUGAGUUCUGGCUGCCGGACACCUUUGGCUACUCAGCACAGCUCCCCCAGAUCAUGCACGGCUGUGGCAUCAGGCGCUUUCUCACCCAGAAAUUGAGCUGGAAUUUGGUGAACUCCUUCCCAGUAAGCAGGCCCCCGGGGGGUCAGGGUCAGAGUGGGCCUCAGUCCCGCCUGGCCCAUUUGCCUCUCCCCCUUAUUGUGGGGUCCUAGACAGACCACCAAACCCUCACUCUGCCUCUGCCAGGGUCACAUAGCAGGCAGGGGCAGGACCAAGUCUGGAAGGCCUGGCUCUGCCUCAGCCCUGACUCUGGCCUCUCUGCCCUGCUUCUGUUUCCCUGCUGGUAGCACCAUACAUUUUUCUGGGAGGGCCUGGAUGGCUCCCGUGUACUGGUCCACUUCCCACCUGGCGACUCCUAUGGGAUGCAGGGCAGCGUGGAGGAGGUGCUGAAGACCGUGGCCAACAACCGGGACAAGGGGCGGGCCAACCACAGUGCCUUCCUCUUUGGCUUUGGGGAUGGGGGUGGUGGCCCCACCC
This 849-nucleotide long non-coding RNA is filed under the name Homo sapiens (human). RNAcentral describes it as "non-protein coding lnc-SIN3A-2:3". The record is from RNAcentral. Lineage: Eukaryota; Metazoa; Chordata; Mammalia; Primates; Hominidae.